This is a long non-coding RNA of Brachypodium distachyon (stiff brome), 562 nucleotides long. RefSeq lists it as uncharacterized. Lineage: Eukaryota; Viridiplantae; Streptophyta; Magnoliopsida; Poales; Poaceae. The record is from RefSeq and is a predicted model, not a curated record. The transcript has 2 exons.
AACUCUGAUCAUCCAACUCAUUCUGCCAAGUGCCAAUAAUGUGUGCUUGCGUUGGCUGCAUGAUUUUCUGUACGGAAGAUUCAACGCAGCAAAGUAACUGGUGAAGACGGUGGAAUUUUUCUUGUUCGCUUUUUGGACACUUUUACAAGUGAGAAGCUUCUGCAUGGAAAGAACUUCCACCUGAUUCGGGGGAAAAAGGAGACCAUUUUGGAGCGACACAGAUGGCGGGAGCAGUGCUCCUUGGCGUUCACUCACCGUUUCCUAAUUCCUUGGCAUCCACGUACCGUUGAGGCGUUGACCUCCUCCAUCACCAUCGUUGCGCGGCGGUCUUGCGUCUUAAUAAUCUUAUCCCCGUUGGAUAUCUAUAUCUCCUUGUUAAUUCAUGUCAAGGGCGGAGGGAGGAAAAAAACAUAGGGAGGGCUAGAAUAGAUGAUUUAUUGGUCGGGCCGAAGCAUAAAAACUGAAACUUAUAGGAUAAAAUUGCAAAGGUUAUGAGGAGGGUCAAGUACAAAUUCCAAAUAUUAGAGGGGGCCAGAGCCCGUGCUAGCCUGGGUGCUCCCUC